Molecule: unclassified non-coding RNA, 399 nt
Filed under: Hevea brasiliensis (rubber tree)
Lineage: Eukaryota; Viridiplantae; Streptophyta; Magnoliopsida; Malpighiales; Euphorbiaceae
Source: RNAcentral
GGAGUGGAGUGUAAAAACGUCAUCUACCACUGAGCAGUCGAUUUUGGUACAAGCUGGAAUUAAGAAGAAAAACCGUACCAACAGUAACAGGUAUGGCGGAUGGAAGCAAAGAAGGUCCAACAUCGCCUCAGGCAGCCAACGCUCAACUAUUCGGAGUUCUCUCCAGUCUUCUCCAGCAGUUAACAGGGACAGAGUCACCUUAUACUCGUUGCUAGUGGGAGGUGGAGGGUACCUCAUGGAAUUAGUCGAGGUGCGCGCAACAAUCUGGCCAGACACCACAAUUAUAUGAAAAAUGAAGAAGUUAAAAAGGAUCAUUGCAAGCAUUGUGUAUAAAGUUCUUAAUGAAUAUGUAAUUUUUGAUUCUUAAUAGAGCGAUUAAGUGUAUUUUGUAUAAUAACA